Molecule: ribosomal RNA, 505 nt
Filed under: uncultured bacterium
Lineage: Bacteria
Description: partial 16S ribosomal RNA
Rfam family: Bacterial small subunit ribosomal RNA
Source: RNAcentral
GACGAACGCUGGCGGCGUGCCUAAUACAUGCAAGUAGAACGCACAGUUUAUACCGUAGCUUGCUACACCAUAGACUGUGAGUUGCGAACGGGCGAGUAACGCGUAGGUAACCUGCCUGGUAGCGGGGGAUAACUAUUGGAAACGAUAGCUAAUACCGCAUAAUAUUAAUUAUUGCAUGAUAAUUAAUUGAAAGGUGCAAUUGCACCACUACCAGAUGGACCUGCGUUGUAUUAGCUAGUAGGUGAGGUAACGGCUCACCUAGGCGACGAUACAUAGCCGACCUGAGAGGGUGAUCGGCCACACUGGGACUGAGACACGGCCCAGACUCCUACGGGAGGCAGCAGUAGGGAAUCUUCGGCAAUGGACGAAAGUCUGACCGAGCAACGCCGCGGGAGUGAAGAAGGUUUUCGGAUCGUAAAGCUCUGUUGUAAGAGAAGAACGGGUGUGAGAGUGGAAAGUUCACACUGUGACGGUAUCUUACCAGAAAGGGACGGCUAACUACGUG